GACGAACCCUUGCGGCGUGCUUAACACAUGCAAGUCGAACGGAAAGGCCCUGCUUUUGUGGGGUGCUCGAGUGGCGAACGGGUGAGUAACACGUGAGUAACCUGCCCUUGACUUUGGGAUAACUUCAGGAAACUGGGGCUAAUACCGGAUAGGAGCUCCUGCUGCAUGGUGGGGGUUGGAAAGUUUCGGCGGUUGGGGAUGGACUCGCGGCUUAUCAGCUUGUUGGUGGGGUAGUGGCUUACCAAGGCUUUGACGGGUAGCCGGCCUGAGAGGGUGACCGGCCACAUUGGGACUGAGAUACGGCCCAGACUCCUACGGGAGGCAGCAGUGGGGAAUGUUGCACAAUGGGCGGAAGCCUGAUGCAGCAACGCCGCGUGCGGGAUGACGGCCUUCGGGUUGUAAACCGCUUUCGCCCGUGACGAAGCGUGAGUGACGGUAAUGGGUAAAGAAGCACCGGCUAACUACGUGCCAGCAGCCGCGGUGAUACGUAGGGUGCGAGCGUUGUCCGGAUUUAUUGGGCGUAAAGGGCUCGUAGGUGGUUGAUCGCGUCGGAAGUGUAAUCUUGGGGCUUAACCCUGAGCGUGCUUUCGAUACGGGUUGACUUGAGGAAGGUAGGGGAGAAUGGAAUUCCUGGUGGAGCGGUGGAAUGCGCAGAUAUCAGGAGGAACACCAGUGGCGAAGGCGGUUCUCUGGGCCUUUCCUGACGCUGAGGAGCGAAAGCGUGGGGAGCGAACAGGCUUAGAUACCCUGGUAGUCCACGCUGUAAACGGUGGGUACUAGGUGUGGGGUCCAUUCCACGGGUUCCGUGCCGUAGCUAACGCUUUAAGUACCCCGCCUGGGGAGUACGGCCGCAAGGCUAAAACUCAAAGGAAUUGACGGGGCCCCGCACAAGCGGCGGAGCAUGCGGAUUAAUUCGAUGCAACGCGUAGAACCUUACCUGGGUUUGACAUGGAUCGGGAGUGCUCAGAGAUGGGUGUGCCUCUUUUGGGGUCGGUUCACAGGUGGUGCAUGGCUGUCGUCAGCUCGUGUCGUGAGAUGUUGGGUUAAGUCCCGCAACGAGCGCAACCCUUGUUCACUGUUGCCAGCACGUUAUGGUGGGGACUCAGUGGAGACCGCCGGGGUCAACUCGGAGGAAGGUGGGGAUGACGUCAAGUCAUCAUGCCCCUUAUGUCCAGGGCUUCACGCAUGCUACAAUGGCUGGUACAGAGAGUGGCGAGCCUGUGAGGGUGAGCGAAUCUCGGAAAGCCGGUCUCAGUUCGGAUUGGGGUCUGCAACUCGACCUCAUGAAGUCGGAGUCGCUAGUAAUCGCAAAUCAGCAACGCUGCGGUGAAUACGUUCCCGGG
Molecule: ribosomal RNA, 1343 nt
Filed under: uncultured bacterium
Lineage: Bacteria
Description: 16S ribosomal RNA
Rfam family: Bacterial small subunit ribosomal RNA
Source: RNAcentral